Molecule: ribosomal RNA, 476 nt
Filed under: uncultured bacterium
Lineage: Bacteria
Description: partial 16S ribosomal RNA
Rfam family: Bacterial small subunit ribosomal RNA
Source: RNAcentral
AUUAACGCUGGCGGCGUGCAUAACACAUGCAAGUCGAACGAUGAAACUUUAAUGAACCCUUCGGGGAGAAUUAAAGCGGAUUAGUGGCGAACGGGUGAGUAACGCGUGAGUAACCUGCCUUACACAAGGGGAUAGCCUUUGGAAACGAAGAAUAAUACCCUAUAAAACCAUAAAAGCACAUGCAAUUAUGGUCAAAGUGAUAGCGGUGUAAGAUGGACUUGCGUCUGAUUAGCUAGUUGGUGAGAUAAAAGCCCACCAAGGCAACGAUCAGUAGCCGGCUUGAGAGAGUGUACGGCCACAUUGGGACUGAGACACGGCCCAGACUCCUACGGGAGGCAGCAGUGGGGAAUUUUGAACAAUGGGGGAAACCCUGAUGCAGCGACGCCGCGUGAUUUAGAAGGCCUUCGGGUUGUAAAAAUCUUUUGUAUAGGAAGAAAAUGACAGUACUAUACGAAUAAGGUCCGGCUAAUUACGUG